GUCGGCACGUCCUGCCUCUAGCAAUGGCCGGUGCUCCCCCGUGCAAGGAGGGAGCAAUGUUUUCCCUCCUGACGGCCGCCGUCUUCGGACAAGGGCCCGUUGUCCCCUAGUGAUACUAGGCGACAAAUCUUUGAAGAAGUAUCGGAGACGCCGUUGCAAAGACAAAGGCAAGAACAUCAUCAUCAUCAUCAUCAGGAUCUACAUGUAAACAAUCAGGCCGCGUGUGACACCCUCAGCCCCACGCUGGCCAGGCGCGGCGCCCCACACACCAGAACACUUCCUGCCACGGCUACACUCCCCCACACCAGCCGCAAGGCAGCCCCAGCCAGGCUCCACACCCUCAGGUCAGCCUGUGACACCCUCAGGGGAAUGCUCACGUUUUUGGGAUUGCUUCAAAGCUUGACGAGACACCUCUCCCAGGCUCCCUCCUUCACGCUGGACCACCCCUGGAGGAGGACUCCCUGGAGCCUGCCAAGGAGUACAGGGAUGCUGACAUCAAUGAGGCUAUACACGAUUAUGAACCAGUUGGUGAAGGACUGGAGCCUCCUCCAAGCACCCCUGUGUGACAGUACAGCUGGUGAACCCACUCAGGACCAGAAGGUGAUGAACCAGUUGGUGAAGGGCUGGAGCCUCCUCUGAGCACCCCUGUGUGACAGUACAGCUGGUGAACCCACUCAGGACCAGAAGGUUGAUGAGGGUAAUCUUGAGAGCCAGCACCAGACCCUGGCGCCUCCUCCACCCCGGCCAGGAUCCCUCCCCCAGGGCCCAUGGAGCCACCAGAGCAUCGUCAUGUCAGCUGUGAAGGUGUUGCUGAAGGGAGGUUUUCAAGUCUUCACAGGCCUUCACAAGUCCUCCAGGGAAUGAAGGUAAGAGUCCUUAUUAGCCCGAUAAUUUUGUGGCCUUACCGUGUAGCAGCAACGGGACAAAUUUGUGGCUUUACCGUGUAGCAGCAACGGGACAAAUUUGUGGCUUUACCGUGUAGCAGCAACGGGACAAAUUUGUGGCUUUACCGUGUAGCAGCAACGGGACAAAUUUGUGGCUUUACCGUGUAGCAGCAACGGGACAAAUUUGUGGCUUUACCGUGUAGCAGCAACAGGACAAAUUUGUGGCUUUACCGUGUAGCAGCAACGGGACAAAUUUGUGGCUUUACCGUGUAGCAGCGACGGGACAAAUUUGUGCCAUGUUAUAAACCCCCCAAAAUAGAUGAUACAUAAUCUGAUCACAAAUGCUUUGAUAUAUAUUAUGAAAUGGUUUGUGUGAGGGGUGAUUUUUUCUCAUUUUUCUCGCUUGGAGGGACCAUUAAGAAACAUGAUCCCCGCUGCUGCCACCGGGUUAAGUAAUGACAGGACCUAGGCUUCGCUGGGUCAGUCUGGUCUACCUCUUCUCUCUACUGACCACCCAAAGAUGUACGCACAUGCCCUGAGGUGCGGGGCAGAGCUCACAAACCAAUCAUACAACCCUCUCUUGUUUCAUAUGGUGCAGAAGAGGCUUUGUCAGACUAUCAUUAGGCUCAUAGAAAUAGCCAUGGACAUACUGACACUACCCCCACCAAAGCCUUAUUGAAUGUGUGUGUGUGUGUGUGUGUGUGUGUG
Eriocheir sinensis (Chinese mitten crab) is the source of this 1592-nucleotide RNA transcript. RefSeq lists it as uncharacterized. Lineage: Eukaryota; Metazoa; Arthropoda; Malacostraca; Decapoda; Varunidae. The transcript is spliced from 5 exons. The record is from RefSeq and is a predicted model, not a curated record.